Long non-coding RNA from Bradysia coprophila, 257 nucleotides. NCBI's taxonomy places the organism in Eukaryota, Metazoa, Arthropoda, Insecta, Diptera, Sciaridae. The record is from RefSeq and is a predicted model, not a curated record.
AUACGCAACUUAAAGUGUUUGCCAUAUUGGUUCAUUACAAACAUUGAAAUUAUUUCUAGAACAAAACUGGACGACACUUUCAGUUUUGUAAUUUCAUUUUGUUGAAAUAACUUAAAUGAUUUUGCUACAUUGAACUCACGCCACUGCAAAAUUUAGGUCCAAAAACACAAAACAUCCUUAACUAUUUUCGUUUUUAUAUUGAAAGACAUAAAAUAUUUCAGAUGAUGCAUUCUUCUUCAUGUAAGACAGUGAACCCU